RNAcentral lists this ribosomal RNA (92 nucleotides) under Castor canadensis (American beaver). Lineage: Eukaryota; Metazoa; Chordata; Mammalia; Rodentia; Castoridae. The record is from RNAcentral.
GCCUACGGCCAUACCACCCUGAAUGUGCCCACUCUCAUUUGGUCUCAGAAGCUAAGCAGGGUCAGGCCUGGUUAGUGCUUGGGUGGAAGACA